GAUGAACGCUGGCGGCGUGCCUAAUACAUGCAAGUCGAGCGAACGGACGAGAAGCUUGCUUCUCUGAUGUUAGCGGCGGACGGGUGAGUAACACGUGGAUAACCUACCUAUAAGACUGGGAUAACUUCGGGAAACCGGAGCUAAUACCGGAUAAUAUUUUGAACCGCAUGGUUCAAAAGUGAAAGACGGUCUUGCUGUCACUUAUAGAUGGAUCCGCGCUGCAUUAGCUAGUUGGUAAGGUAACGGCUUACCAAGGCAACGAUGCAUAGCCGACCUGAGAGGGUGAUCGGCCACACUGGAACUGAGACACGGUCCAGACUCCUACGGGAGGCAGCAGUAGGGAAUCUUCCGCAAUGGGCGAAAGCCUGACGGAGCAACGCCGCGUGAGUGAUGAAGGUCUUCGGAUCGUAAAACUCUGUUAUUAGGGAAGAACGUAUGUGUAAGUAACUGUGCACAUCUUGACGGUACCUAAUCAGAAAGCCACGGCUAACUACGUGCCAGCAGCCGCGGUAAUACGUAGGUGGCAAGCGUUAUCCGGAAUUAUUGGGCGUAAAGCGCGCGUAGGCGGUUUUUUAAGUCUGAUGUGAAAGCCCACGGCUCAACCGUGGAGGGUCAUUGGAAACUGGAAAACUUGAGUGCAGAAGAGGAAAGUGGAAUUCCAUGUGUAGCGGUGAAAUGCGCAGAGAUAUGGAGGAACACCAGUGGCGAAGGCGACUUUCUGGUCUGUAACUGACGCUGAUGUGCGAAAGCGUGGGGAUCAAACAGGAUUAGAUACCCUGGUAGUCCACGCCGUAAACGAUGAGUGCUAAGUGUUAGGGGGUUUCCGCCCCUAGUGCUGCAGCUAACGCAUUAAGCACUCCGCCUGGGGAGUACGACCGCAAGGUUGAAACUCAAAGGAAUUGACGGGGACCCGCACAAGCGGUGGAGCAUGUGGUUUAAUUCGAAGCAACGCGAAGAACCUUACCAAAUCUUGACAUCCUUUGACAACUCUAGAGAUAGAGCCUUCCCCUUCGGGGGACAAAGUGACAGGUGGUGCAUGGUUGUCGUCAGCUCGUGUCGUGAGAUGUUGGGUUAAGUCCCGCAACGAGCGCAACCCUUAAGCUUAGUUGCCAUCAUUAAGUUGGGCACUCUAAGUUGACUGCCGGUGACAAACCGGAGGAAGGUGGGGAUGACGUCAAAUCAUCAUGCCCCUUAUGAUUUGGGCUACACACGUGCUACAAUGGACAAUACAAAGGGCAGCGAAACCGCGAGGUCAAGCAAAUCCCAUAAAGUUGUUCUCAGUUCGGAUUGUAGUCUGCAACUCGACUACAUGAAGCUGGAAUCGCUAGUAAUCGUAGAUCAGCAUGCUACGGUGAAUACGUUCCCGGGUCU
This 1371-nucleotide ribosomal RNA is filed under the name uncultured bacterium. Its description in RNAcentral is "bacterial SSU rRNA". It matches the Rfam family "Bacterial small subunit ribosomal RNA", at positions 28 to 1381 of the family's 1533-position model. The record is from RNAcentral.